RNAcentral lists this ribosomal RNA (471 nucleotides) under uncultured organism. RNAcentral describes it as "partial 16S ribosomal RNA". It matches the Rfam family "Bacterial small subunit ribosomal RNA", at positions 334 to 797 of the family's 1533-position model. The record is from RNAcentral.
CACUCCUACGGGAGGCAGCAGUGGGGAAUAUUGCACAAUGGGCGCAAGCCUGAUGCAGCCAUGCCGCGUGUAUGAAGAAGGCCUUCGGGUUGUAAAGUACUUUCAGCGGGGAGGAAGGCGAUAAGGUUAAUAACCUUGUUGAUUGACGUUACCCGCAGAAGAAGCACCGGCUAACUCCGUGCCAGCAGCCGCGGUAAUACGGAGGGUGCAAGCGUUAAUCGGAAUUACUGGGCGUAAAGCGCACGCAGGCGGUCUGUCAAGUCGGAUGUGAAAUCCCCGGGCUCAACCUGGGAACUGCAUUCGAAACUGGCAGGCUAGAGUCUUGUAGAGGGGGGUAGAAUUCCAGGUGUAGCGGUGAAAUGCGUAGAGAUCUGGAGGAAUACCGGUGGCGAAGGCGGCCCCCUGGACAAAGACUGACGCUCAGGUGCGAAAGCGUGGGGAGCAAACAGGAUUAGAAACCCUGGUAGUCCC